RNAcentral lists this ribosomal RNA (484 nucleotides) under uncultured bacterium. RNAcentral's name for it is "bacterial SSU rRNA". It matches the Rfam family "Bacterial small subunit ribosomal RNA", at positions 30 to 507 of the family's 1533-position model. The record is from RNAcentral.
AUUGAACGCUGGCGGCAUGCCUUACACAUGCAAGUCGAACGGCAGCACGGGAGCAAUCCUGGUGGCGAGUGGCGAACGGGUGAGUAAUAUAUCGGAACGUGCCCAGUCGUGGGGGAUAACGUAGCGAAAGCUACGCUAAUACCGCAUACGAUCUAUGGAUGAAAGCGGGGGAUCGCAAGACCUCGCGCGAUUGGAGCGGCCGAUAUCAGAUUAGGUAGUUGGUGGGGUAAAAGCCUACCAAGCCUUCGAUCUGUAGCUGGUCUGAGAGGACGACCAGCCACACUGGAACUGAGACACGGUCCAGACUCCUACGGGAGGCAGCAGUGGGGAAUUUUGGACAAUGGGCGCAAGCCUGAUCCAGCAAUGCCGCGUGCAGGAUGAAGGCCUUCGGGUUGUAAACUACUUUUGUACGGAACGAAACGGCUCUUUCUAAUAAAGAGAGCUAAUGACGGUACCGUAAGAAUAAGCACCGGCUAACUACGUG